CCUUAGUUACCAGCACGUUAUGGUGGGCACUCUAAGGAGACUGCCGGUGACAAACCGGAGGAAGGUGGGGAUGACGUCAAGUCAUCAUGGCCCUUACGGCCUGGGCUACACACGUGCUACAAUGGUCGGUACAAAGGGUUGCCAAGCCGCGAGGUGGAGCUAAUCCCAUAAAACCGAUCGUAGUCCGGAUCGCAGUCUGCAACUCGACUGCGUGAAGUCGGAAUCGCUAGUAAUCGUGAAUCAGAAUGUCACGGUGAAUACGUUCCCGGGCCUU
RNAcentral lists this ribosomal RNA (274 nucleotides) under uncultured Pseudomonas sp. RNAcentral describes it as "partial 16S ribosomal RNA". It matches the Rfam family "Bacterial small subunit ribosomal RNA", at positions 1109 to 1382 of the family's 1533-position model. Lineage: Bacteria; Pseudomonadati; Pseudomonadota; Gammaproteobacteria; Pseudomonadales; Pseudomonadaceae. The record is from RNAcentral.